This 2511-nucleotide long non-coding RNA is filed under the name Homo sapiens (human). RNAcentral describes it as "PREDICTED lncRNA (TCONS_00142522)". The record is from RNAcentral. Lineage: Eukaryota; Metazoa; Chordata; Mammalia; Primates; Hominidae.
AAAGUGUUAUUUGACUGGAGUGAGGUCUCAUGUCUGCUUAUGCGGUGGCUCGCUGCUCAGAACAGGAUGGCAGAGAUGAGCACCACCAUCAAAAACUCAAGGACCAGUGCUGUGGGUCCAGUCAUCUGUUUCAUGGAAUUCACCAGUCUGGUAUCUUCAAAAUCCAGAAGGAUGAUGGCAGAUGGCAGGAAGGAACCAUUGGAGAUACUCAUUACUCUUUGAAGGCUUACAGUGGAAUGAAUUCAAAUACGACUUAUUUGAGGAAUUGAAGUUGACUUUAUGGAGCUGAUAAGAAUCUUCUUGGAGAAAAAAAGACUGGGUAUAUUUUCAAUAUGCUUUCCUUUUAAGGUCCCUCACCUGUGGAAAGUAAAGAAUGUCACUUUCUGACAGGCUCAGGAACCUCAAGUUAUGUAGGGAUCUCAAGAAGAUGGGGGAAUUCACCCAGUUCAUACAGGUGAAAUUGCUGUUGCAAAGAUUAUGAAUAUGAGAGAAGUCCAGCAUGGCUGACUUCAUCUCGUGUCUGGCCUCAGGCUGGCUGCCCUUGCUCACUCUUGGGCAUAGGCCAAGCUAGCCAUGGGAGGAAUUUAGUUUAUAGUUUAACUUUGAAGCACGGAUGAUAAUAGUCUCUCCCUAAAAUGAACCCCUUCCUUGCUCAGGGACUGAAACUACCUUUGUAUGACAAAUGAAAGCCCACAAGAUUAAGAUUAUGAGAGGGGCCUGAAUUCUGCUAAAAUGCAGGUGUAGCUGACUGAUAACAAGUCAUUGUCCCACAGCUUGCCUUUCUAUAAUCUCUUGCUUCUCAGGAGUCACAUGGCCAGAGGUCCUGAGAUUUCCAGUCCUGUGACCCCCACCCAGAGAUGGACUUAGUGCAUGAGGACCAUUUUCCACACCCCUAUGAUUUCAUCCUCAAACAAUCAGCAGCAACCAUUCCCUAGCCCCCUGCCUUCCAAAUUAUCCAUAAAAAUCCUAGCCUCUGAGUUAUUAGGGAGAUUGAUUAAUAAUCCCAGUCCUACCCCUUGGGUUGCUCUGAUUUAAUUAAACCUUCUCUACUGCAAUACCACGGACUCAGUAAAUUGGUUUUGUCUGUGCAAUGGGCAAGAAGAACAUGUUGCAUGGUUAUACAGGUACUACAAGCACAGUCUGAUGGCAAAUUAUUGGUUUUGCUUCCUGCCCUUGAUGUUUCUAAACAUCUAGUCCAAAAUUACUUGUGAAAGGUCCAGCAAAGCCAAUUUUAAAAGAGGCUAUAUGGCCAAUCACUAUUCUUUCUACACAUUAUUGCAAAUAAUCAGGCCACGGCUGGGCACGGUGGCUCAUGCCUGCAAUCCCAGCACUUUGGGAGGCUGAGGCAGGAUCACCUGAAAUCAGGAGUUCAAGACCAGCCUAGGCAACAUGAUAAAACCCUGUCUCUACUAAAAAUACAAAAUUAGCCAGGCAUGGUGGCAUGCACCUGUAAUCCCAGCUACUUGGGAGACUGAGGGAGGAGAAUCACUUGAACCUGGGAGGCAGAGAUUGCAGUGAGCUGAGAUCACACCACUGCACUCCAGCCUGGGCAAUAGAGUGAGACUUUGUCUCAAAUAAUAAUAAUAAUAAUCAGACCAAGUAUAAUGAAAUUAAAAUUUAUUUUGCAAAUAAAUUGGUCCUACUACAAUUUAUCCUUCAUAGAAAUGUGGAAACUGAAGAUAAAAAAAAUUAGGUUUCAGAAGAAAACUAUACUACACCUGUUAUUAGAUUCUAGCCCUAAACAUUGUUUUUGAGGUUUUUAUUAUUUACCUGCAAUUUGGUCUAAAUUCUGAAUUAUUUCCUGACUACAAGUAUCCAAGGAAUAAAUGGGUUUUCUUUUUCUUUAUGAUAGUUUUAGUUGGCUUCUAAUGCAACAACAAUUUUUAUUGUAAUCCUGUGUGCAUUCUAUUCCUACUAUUCAAAUUAUUAAUGUUAUAGAUCUUUCAUUGUAGUACUUCUGAAUUAACCAAAAUCACAGUAUUCUGAAGAUGAUUCUACAAAGCCUGCUGUUUCUACAAAGGCUGCUGAUGAUUUCUACAAAGCCUGCUGUAGUGUUGCUGUGGCCUCUGCUUAAAAAAGUAGAAAACACAUUGAUGCAGCAUGUUCACCCCAACCUCCCUGCCUAAAGGCUCAGGGACCAUCUUGGAAGAGGAAGGCGCGUGAGAUUGUAAGAGCCGAAUUAGGGGGAUGGAGUGUGGAGAAUAAGGACACUUCAUCUUGGAUGCUCACCUGCCAAAUUGACUUCUGAUGAAAGCCAGCUCCAGAAAUGUGCCUACAGUUACUACUUUCACCUAAACCCUGCCCUUAGUCAAAUCCUUCUCUUCUUCUAAGCAAUCAACUUCAAUUCCUUGUAUAACCCACAGUAUAAAAGGGCUUUUAUACCAUUCUAUCCUAUUGCAUGUAAGCCUUGGGUCUGGGAGGUAACAGUGUGGGAUUCCACCAUCUCAUCUCCCUGCCACCCAAACAUGCCUGCUCUUCUUUAAGCAAUAUUAAAUGUUUGUACUUCAGAAA